This 74-nucleotide transfer RNA is filed under the name Frondihabitans sp. PhB188. It matches the Rfam family "tRNA". From Rfam's summary of the family: Transfer RNA (tRNA) molecules are approximately 80 nucleotides in length. RNAcentral also lists the same sequence under 1 other name. Lineage: Bacteria; Bacillati; Actinomycetota; Actinomycetes; Micrococcales; Microbacteriaceae. The record is from Rfam by way of RNAcentral.
AGACCUCUACGCCAACUGGCAGAGCGGGCUGACUUAAAUUCAACCGGAUGCGGGUUCGAAUCCCGCGAGGUCUA